Harmonia axyridis is the source of this 774-nucleotide long non-coding RNA. RefSeq lists it as uncharacterized. The record is from RefSeq and is a predicted model, not a curated record. Lineage: Eukaryota; Metazoa; Arthropoda; Insecta; Coleoptera; Coccinellidae. The transcript is spliced from 2 exons.
ACAAAAAAAAAACGCUUUUUACACAGUCAGAACAGGAUGGUUCUGGCGUUAUCCUGAUAUUUCAAAAGAAACUAGGGCAGAAUACUCUUGUGGAGCUUCCGUUCAUGAGGAUAGUUAACAGAGCUAGAGGAUUGCUGUGAAGUUGAAGUAACAGUGGAGAAUCGUGAAUAUAAUUUUAAUGUUAGCAGGAUAUGGUUUGAAUAUGGGAGCUGACAACUCUUAGGGAAGAAGUUCAUAAUUUUUUACAGAGAUCUUUUUUUAACAAACGUAUUUACCUAUGGUUGAUAUACAUAAUAUAUAACGUACGUAUCCCACUACUGUUUUUACAAUUAAAUGCCAUAUGUUAAAUGUAUAGUACCUCUAUUCCAUACUGACAUGUCCUAAAAGUGAAGAGAAGAACGAGUUGAAGAAUUAAAAAAGAUAUAUGCCUAAAAGAAAAGUACUAAAAAAAGAUUGAUUCAACUUGCAAGAGAAAAUUCAAUGAAAAUGUUCAUUGAUAAUUUUAGUGCCGCUGUUUGUAAAACAUUACAACCUCUUCAGGAAUGUAUUCUACGAAAGCAGGAAGGACGGUCCUACCCUCUUCAUGAAAUAAGCAUUGUCGAAGCAUGAGAUUAGAACAAAGAAAAGGGCAGUUAAAGUUUCAAUGGAUAUCAUCGUGGAAUUUUUAGUGGCUAUGGUCUUUUUGGAACCACAACCCUCCAACUUUGAAGAGGGGUACAGCCUAAUAAAUUAUCUGGAUGUUUGAAGAAUAAAGGAAUACGGUAUUUUCAGUCA